RNAcentral lists this ribosomal RNA (553 nucleotides) under Skeletonema marinoi. RNAcentral describes it as "partial Bacterial large subunit ribosomal RNA". It matches the Rfam family "Bacterial large subunit ribosomal RNA", at positions 1716 to 2286 of the family's 2925-position model. Lineage: Eukaryota; Bacillariophyta; Thalassiosirophyceae; Thalassiosirales; Thalassiosiraceae. The record is from RNAcentral.
GGCAAAAUGACUCCGUAACUUCGGAAUAAGGAGUAGCUUUCUUAAGUUAAAACUUUUGAAAGCUGUCACAAAAUCGAGGACAGCGACUGUUUAAUAAAAACACAGGUCUCUGCUAAUUUGAAAAAAGAAGUAUAGAGACUGACGCCUGCCCGGUGCUGCAAGAUUAAGAGAAAAAGUUCUGGCUUUGACUUUAACCCCCAGUAAACGGCGGCUGUAACUCUGACGGUCCAAAGGUAGCGAAAUUCCUUGGCAUUUAAUUGGUGUCCUGCAUGAAUGGCGUAACGACUGUCCUACUGUCUCCAGUGCAAUUUCAGUGAAAUUGAAAUGUCUGUGAAGAUGCAGACUACUUGCGGCUAGACGGAAAGACCCUGUGCACCUUUACUAUAAUUAUAAAUUGUAAUAAAAUUUUUUUUGUGUAGAAUAUGUGGUAAGUUUUUAUUAAAUCGUAACAUAAGUUAUUCAUUUAAACAUCAAUGAAAUACCACUCUUAAAAACUUUUGUUACUCAUGAGCUUAAAACAGUUUAUAAUGGGUAGUUUGACUGGGGCGGUCGC